This 1141-nucleotide ribosomal RNA is filed under the name Salpingella sp. Its description in RNAcentral is "bacterial SSU rRNA". The stretch from base 1 to 436 matches the Rfam family "Eukaryotic small subunit ribosomal RNA", at positions 1385 to 1831 of the family's 1831-position model. Lineage: Eukaryota; Ciliophora; Spirotrichea; Tintinnida; Tintinnidae. The record is from RNAcentral.
CUCCAAUGACCAUUGGCUGCGACUUCUUAGAGGGACUUUGUAAUCAAAUGCAAGGAAGUUUGAGGCAAUAACAGGUCUGUGAUGCCCUUUAGAUGUCUGGGCCGCACGCGUGCUACACUGACGCAUACAGCGAGUAUCUCCAGCUCCGUGAGGCAGCUGGUAAUCAGCAAUAUGCGUCGUGAUGGGGAUAGAUCUUUGGAAUUUUUGAUCUUGAACGAGGAAUGCCUAGUAAGCGCAAGUCAUCAGCUUGCGUUGAUUAAGUCCCUGCCCUUUGUACACACCGCCCGUCGCUCCUACCGAUUUCGAGUGGUCCGGUGAACCCUUUGGACCGGAGCCCGUUCCUUGCGGGCACUGGAAAGUCGAGUAAACCACAUCACUUAGAGGAAGGAAAAGUCGUAACAAGGUUUCCGUAGGUGAACCUGCGGAAGGAUCAUUAGCACUUGACCAAACCUACUCAACCAAGCCAUACUGUUGCAGAGCGCAAGCUUUGCAGCUUAAACCUAACCAAAAGAAGCUUAACUAAGCUCAUCAAAAACCAAAUCCUCAACGAUGGAUAUCUAGGUUCCCACAACGAUGAAGAACGCAGCGAAGUGCGAUAAGCAAUGCGAAUUGCAGAACCGGGAGUCAUCAGAUUUUUGAACGCAACUGGCUCCUGGGGGCUCUCCCCCAGGAAUGCUUCUUCCAGUGUGUCAUUAUCUCCUCACCCAAACCUUAAUGCGAUAGAUGCCCUUCUAUUGCUAAGCUCGAAAGCACUCUGAGCUCUGCAGCGGCCGUCUUCGGACGGAAGCACUCAAUGCAGCAGUCACAUUCUCCAAUGUGAACUCAUUGAGAGUAGAGUCAGCGCAUGUCUCAUGCCAGUGCUUAGACACUCAAAUUUUCACAGCAUCUGGGAUGAAGUAGGACCACCCGCUGAACUUAAGCAUAUCAUUAAGCGGAGGAAAAGAAACUAACAAGGAUUCCCUUAGUACGGGCGACGGAAGCGGGAAAAGCCCACACUGGUAAUCUCCGGUCGAGAGGCCGGCGAAUUGUAAUCUGAAGGACCGUAGCCAGGGCAGGCAGGGGAGGCGCAGAAGUGUCCACGAGCGGACCGCCAAAGAGGGUGAGAGCCCCGUCUGUGGUGUCUUCCCUUGUCCGGCUGGGG